GGGGGCAAAAAGCUGCAGCCGGCAUCGCCUCGGGUCGUGGCAAAUUGCGUUCUGCUGAGAAACGGGAAGAAAACGCGUGGGAACGGUCGGACACGCAACAGCAAGUGGAUGGGAAAGGAGCCCUCUCCAACACAAACCUCAUUGACUAAUGGGGCGGUUUUGGGUUUCGCCUUCGAAAGGUUCGGAAAUCGGCAGCGUUCUGUUACCGCCCGCCCGGCUCCAGCCCAGAGCCCGCGGCUCUUAUCGGACACCGCUCCCAGCGCUCCCUUCUGCUGCUCCUCUCUCCAGAAACCCGCACUUUAAAAACACAUAGAGAGCUUUAGGUUUAUUUGGUAGGCUUAUUUCUAAGGCCGGAGGGGCAGAGGGGGGCCGCGUUUUCUAUCUUUCCUAUACAAUUCUUUUUUUUUUUUUUUUUUUUUCCGGCGAAAUCGGUGAAAAACGGCCGAGCGCUGCCCCGGCCCCAUCCCCAUCCCCGCUCCGCAUCGAAUAAACCCGCGGAGAUGUGCGCUCCUGCGCAGGGAUCGGGGCCGGGCUGAGCCCGACCCGUACGGCACAGAACCUCCCCGAGCCGCCCUGCCGCCGUUCGGCCGUUCGCUUCGAGCUCCGUUCCUUUGCUUUUAUUCGAGCGCUUCGAAACCAUUUCUCGUCUGAAUUUAUGGGGCUAAACGGAGCGUGAGGUUCGGAAAUCCGUGCCGUUUUGCUUCUUUCGGGUGGUUUGAAGCGAAAACUUUCCGUUUGUUUUGUAGGAAAAGCAGCGGGUAACGCACGCCGCUGGGAGCGGCCCCGGCCGCAGCGCUGCCCGCGGGCGCAGCCCCGUUCGCUCCGCGGGCGCUGUGGGGCGCGGAGCGGCGCGGCCCCGGUGGGGGCUGAGCCCCAACGUUCGGGUUCGGCCUUGGGAAGGGACGGGCAGGGAGAAGCCGCUCUCGUUACAAACCAGGGCUCCUCACGGCCCCGCUUUGCGUUCUUCACCCCUUAGCCCUGAAUGGACGAACCCUCAGGUCCGUGCUUCCCAAACGUCUUGGAAAAUUAGAGGAAGAGCGCAUUGUAAUAAAGGGAAAGGGACCGGGGAGCGCGUCCCGGGCUCGGUGCGGCCGUGGCACCGCUCCUGCGGGAGGCUCGGAGCCCACCGCUGUAAUUCUGCGCACUUGCUCCAGACUUUAGGGUAUUAGUUGGUGUUAGAGCCGGGUUUAAGGCUCCGUUCCGGUCCCCACGCAGCUGCCUUGUCAAUAAGGAUCUGUUCCAAGCAGACAUUCCUUCUGGGAGGACAUUGCAGCUCUUUAAGACUUCAUCUGCAACAUCACAAGCACUAAAAUAAAAUGGAAGGGAAAAUUAGCAGACACGCGGUCACGGGACACGGCGGUGCCCGAGCGGUGCAGAGCGGACAGACGGGCGGCAGCGCCUUAUUUAACCGCCCCGAGAAGAGAAAUACGUGGGAAAAACAACCACCGGGGCACGGGGGGACGGCGGCGGGGCCUGCGGCCGGGG
This 1485-nucleotide long non-coding RNA is filed under the name Gallus gallus (chicken). RNAcentral's name for it is "lncRNA (ENSGALG00010020208.1)". Lineage: Eukaryota; Metazoa; Chordata; Aves; Galliformes; Phasianidae. The record is from RNAcentral.